This 397-nucleotide ribosomal RNA is filed under the name uncultured bacterium. Its description in RNAcentral is "partial 16S ribosomal RNA". It matches the Rfam family "Bacterial small subunit ribosomal RNA", at positions 523 to 918 of the family's 1533-position model. The record is from RNAcentral.
AUACGUAGGGGGCGAGCGUUGACCGGAAUGAUUGGGCGUAAAGGGCGCGUAGGCGGCGCGGUAAGUCUGGAGUGAAAGUCCUGCUUUCAAGGUGGGAAUUGCUUUGGAUACUGUCGGGCUUGAGUGCAGUAGAGGUAAGUGGAAUUCCCAGUGUAGCGGUGAAAUGCGUAGAGAUUGGGAGGAACACCAGUGGCGAAGGCGACUUACUGGACUGUAACUGACGCUGAGGCGCGAAAGUGUGGGGAGCAAACAGGAUUAGAUACCCUGGUAGUCCACACUGUAAACGAUGAAUGCUAGGUGUAGGGGGUAUCGACCCCUUUUGUGCCGGAGUCAACACAAUAAGCAUUCCGCCUGGGGAGUACGGCCGCAAGGUUAAAACUCAAAGGAAUUGACGGGG